RNAcentral lists this unclassified non-coding RNA (2333 nucleotides) under Harpegnathos saltator (Jerdon's jumping ant). Its description in RNAcentral is "methionine-R-sulfoxide reductase B1, transcript variant X3". The record is from RNAcentral. Lineage: Eukaryota; Metazoa; Arthropoda; Insecta; Hymenoptera; Formicidae.
UCGCUACGGAGUGCGGAGGCUAACGAGUCGAUCGAGCACGGCGCGGUGGUAACUCGGCACUCGCGCGGUUACCGACGCGACUCCAGGAGUCGCGCCGGCGCUGGAACGUGACUGGAGCGCCAGCGAGCGACCGCCAGCGUGAGACACGCAGUGCAUCGCGUGUCCGGAGCGCGAUUCAGUCGGUUUCGAUUCAGCGCGAGACUGCGCGGGGUCGAGCACAGCGGCGACGGCGACGGCGACGGCGACGACGACGACGACGACGAGGAGGUGGCGAUCGACGAAAAGGUGCCAAGGCUGCUGUCUCGGUGCGCUACUCGCAGUGUCCCAUCAGCGGCCCGGCCGCGCGAGUUCGACCGUUGACGUUCGUUUGUCUCACCGUUCGUCCCCGACGAGAGCGUCAAGAUUCUGCGACUCACGCUCGCCGCGAUCAGGAGGAUGACGACGGCGGUCGACAAGGAGGAAGCGAGGAAGCGGCUGACGCCGAUCCAGUGGCAUGUGACGCAGGAAAAGGGCACGGAGAGGCCAUUCACCGGCUGCUACAAUAAGUUUUACGAAAAGGGAAUGUACACCUGCGUCGUGUGCGAUCAGGAAUUGUUCUCCUCGGACACGAAGUACGACAGUGGAUGCGGUUGGCCCGCAUUCAACGAAGUGUUGGAUCAGGGACGCAUUAAACUUACCAAAGAUACCUCUCAUGAUCAGCCGAAUACUAUCAAAUUGCCACGCAGUCUCGCAUAUUCACACGCGAGCAAGUCGUCGUAACCGAGGCGUUCAACAAAACAAGAAAUAUAAAAGAUGACGGUCGCUCGAUGAUCGGGGCUUCCUGCGGUAUGCGUGACUGCGCGCUUAAGUGACAGAUGUGCACAAAGUUUUUCGGAGUAGCCGUUCACGGAGCAUACAAUUGCUACGCUACCUUGGAAGAAAUAGCGUCGAUAGCGCGUAAUUAUAGCGUACAACGCUACCAUCAGUUAUGUCAUACGUUUGUUAGCUUUAUUAUCUGGCUCCACAAACAGUCUAUAGCGGUAAAUAGCGCUAAUAGCGUCUGCGUGAACACGCUCUACAUGUUGACACACUUUAGAUAUUUUAAAGAUAUCCGAUUUGAGAAAUUUUUUAGACAUAUUUUUCGUGACAGCUUUUCGCUCUCAGAAAAAAAACAGCACACUAGAUCACAUUCUGACAUUAUCAUGUCAUCUUUUGAAAGUGUCUCUAAAUUAUCAGGCUCGGAAAUGAAAUAUUUUAGAGAGCUUACUUUAUAAUAUAUUGUUGUCUGAGUAGAAAUAACCGUGUAAUUAAAACCUAGACUGAGUAACCAGAAUUUCAACCGGUUAAAUUCUGGCUGCUUGAUAUAAUGAUAAAUAAGCGUAUCACAACGAAUCGAAAAUCGAUUCUGUAACGAAAGAAUCGAUAUGUAUACAAAAAUCGAACAGGAAAGAAUCGGUUAAGAAAAUCGAAUUUCAGAGAAAAAGUAUCGAUCUUCUGAGAAUUUGAAUCGGGAUUGUUGUUCAUCACUAAGUUUGCAAGCGCGAAAUUUUCAAUAAUCGCUCUAACGUAGCUUAAAUUCUUACAAGAUGGCCAAGCAUCGCCGGAUGACAUUUUUGUCCUCUCACGAUUACGAAUUCUCAAUACAUAGAUAUUGCUUUCUGCAGUGGCAAUUAAAUUUUUCUGCUUUUACGUUUGUUAGUUGUUACAAUCGUUAUAGCAAGUGAUAAUUGAGAUAACAACGAUACUUUGUUGUUUGCGAGUGUGUUUCGAUAUUCACAACUAAAGGUACAGACUAACAGCGUCGUAAUUAAAGGAUGCUGCGUACGUAAUGUAUCUGCACAGUAAGAUUGCAAGGUAAACGAUUGAUAUAGAAAAAGAUUUAUUCCUAUGCGUUAUUUUGUACAUGAAAGAAAACAGUACGCUUAGUCGUGAGCAAUGUUGGACGUGUCGAAAAUAACGGUUAGCAACGGUCGAGCUCGCGUGUGAAACGUAGAAAUAUUUAUCGAAAGUAAAGUAGUUUCAUAUAUGUACACGUAUCUCCCUGUUGUUGCUCAUGUAUUGGUAUCUUGUAUUGAUAUAAAGAUACAUGUUCUCUGUUACUUGAUUUCUCACGAUCGGAUCUCCGCUGUUUUAAGUUCGAUCCUCUGGACUGAAGCCCUCUUAGAGGGCUUCUGUUAGCGAUAAAAAGUCAUAUGUAAGACGAGAAGGGCGUGUCUAAUCAUCACACUCUAUUGUUCUUUCCUUCCGCCCUCCUUUGCCACUCCGCUACUACUACUACUACCACCAACCACCACUUCACUCUCACCACUGAAAAAACACCAAUGAACAAAAAUCGCGUCGCAAAAAAACGACGC